This 756-nucleotide long non-coding RNA is filed under the name Helianthus annuus (common sunflower). RNAcentral's name for it is "hypothetical non coding rna". Lineage: Eukaryota; Viridiplantae; Streptophyta; Magnoliopsida; Asterales; Asteraceae. The record is from RNAcentral.
GUGAUGGCGUGGAUCGAUCAGAGCAAAGGGGGGAGAAGACAAACCCUAACUUCAUGAAAUUCUCAAGAAUUGAAAGAGAUUAGGAGCCCAAACUAAUGCAUGAACUCGAAACCUCAAUCAUCUAAGCUUGUACAACAAGCGGAACGUGUCAAGGAGAGGUCAAGCAUAGGAGGAUAACGGGUCAAGAUAAGGCAAGAUGACAAAUACACUUAUUGGAGUACUCGAGGAAAUUUUAUAAGUAUAUGUGUAUAGGAAUCCAAAGGCCACGUGGGUUGAAUCGUAGAUUGUCUAUACUAUGUAAAGUUUUGAAUGUGACAUUCCGGCAUAAACCUACAUGUAAAAGAAGCUUGUGUAUAUAUUCGUGAUUAAUUGAUUGUGCGAAGGAAGGAACAUUGGCAUGAAUGAAGGUAUGGGGUCGUUGGCUUCAUGAAGAAAUGGAGCUGGAUUUGGAUAAGAGUAUUUAAGAAAGCGCUUGGACAAUUCCACGACUACUUUAUAGAAUGCUCUACGAAAUUUUAUUAUAUAGUUUAAUGUUGAAUGGUAUGUUGAUAACUAAUGGUUUGGUUGUACGUGGUGUCCACAGGUAUCGCUUGGGUUUUCUCUACUUUUAUUGAAGUGAAGCGGACUUAGUUCGAGUUGAGAGCAAGGAUUGUACGGGCUAGAAUGGUCACAUAGUGUAACUCAUAUAGGUUUUGAAGUAUUAAUGUUAUAAAACGUUAUAAAUCCGUUUUAAUGAAUAUAUGGCAUUUCGCAUUU